RNA transcript from Fragaria vesca subsp. vesca, 2175 nucleotides. It is a transcript of the gene named DELLA protein RGA-like, with no coding region annotated. NCBI's taxonomy places the organism in Eukaryota, Viridiplantae, Streptophyta, Magnoliopsida, Rosales, Rosaceae. The record is from RefSeq and is a predicted model, not a curated record. The transcript has a single exon.
AUGGAUAUUAAUCUGAAAUAGCAUUCAUAAUUUUUUGGCAUCUGUAGUCUUUUAUCCGCAGAAUAUUAUCUUUGAGAUGGCAAAUGCAUUCUUCUCUUUCACACCAUUUGAUUUCGGAAUCCAAGGCGGUUUGAGUCCACCCCAUCUUGAAGAUUAUGACAAAGAAGAAGAUACAGUCAUGUUCAAUGUUGGUAAAGGAGACCAUUUAUUUGGUCUAGAUGAUCAGUUGGGAGAAAUGAACACUCUUUCUUCUGAACAUGGUUUCUACCAAGACAACAAGGCCAAGAAAGUAGUAGUAGUAUCCCAUCUGUCCAAAGAGCAAAACCAACACCAUGAUAUUGACCAGCAGCAGCAACAACAGAAAACCAAACCAAGCUUUUUGAUUUUGGAUAACUUCAACUUCGAGACUGUUUCUUCUCAACAAGGUUUCUAUCAUGCCGGGAAGGAUGACCAACACCACCAUUACCAACAACAGCAACAACAAUCCAAGUCAACUUCUUCAAUUUUGGAGAAUUUCAGCAGCUUUGAUUUUAGCUUCCCCUCAGGACAAGCUACACAAACAAUUGAGGAUGGUGCUCGGUUUACACUUCAGAGCCAGAUGGGAGGCUCAAACAUUGUCGAAACUAACAAGCAAAUGCCGCCUCCUCAAUCUUCUUUAGCAACACAGGAGCUACUAAACAGUUACGGAAGCGCCUUUAAGAAGUUGAAGGGAGAAAGGCAAACCAGUAGCAGGGCAGCUAAGGGCAUUGAAACCUAUCAAAACAGCAACUAUGUUGUUAAUGGUAAACAGAAACUGUCGACUGAGGAGAUCAUGAGGGUUGCUGGAGCAAGGUAUGUGCAAUUCUCUGGUCAGGGGUAUGAUGACUUUUACAUGCCUAUGCACCAUUUUGGCUAUGCGCUUCCAGGUCUUUGCGAAGAAGAAACAAAAGAUGUAGAACUUGCUCACUUGCUGUUAGCUAUAGCAGAGAAAGUAGGCUACCAACAAUUCGAAAGAGCUAGCAGAUUGCUUGUGCAGUGUGAAUGGUCUGCUUCAUUGAAAGGCACUACUGUUCAGAGAGUUGUGUGCUACUUUGCUGAGGCGCUACGCGAGAGGAUCAAAAAAGAAACAGGAAUGUAUGCAUCUAAGGGAAAUCAAGAAAUGUCUCAUUAUGUACAGGGUUUGGGACAAACCUUGCAUACAUCGUAUGCCACCAAGAAGUCCCUUUCCAUCUAGUACUGCAGUUCGCGGCAAUCCAAGCCAUGAUAGAAACUGUUGCAAAUGAGAGAAGGAUCCAUUUGAUUGAUCUUGAAAUUAGGAGUGGUGUGCAAUGGACAGGGUUUAUGGAAGCACUAGCAGAACGAGAGGAGUGUCCGGUUGAGCUUCUAACCAUUACUGCUGUGGGAGUUAGAGGCAAACAGAAUAUAAAGGAGACAGGGGAGAGGUUAGCAAGUGUGGCAAAGUCCUUGAACCUACCCUUUGAGUACAAGGAAGUUAUUGUAUCAGACAUGCAAGACAUUAAGGAUCAUCUUUUCGAUGAAAUUGAAGAUGAAGAAGCUGUGGUUGUGUACGCGCCAUUAGUACUGAGGACAAUGAUAAUGAGGCCUAGGUGCUUGGAGAACUUGAUGAGGGUGAUGAGAAAUAUCAACCCUUGUUUGAUGGUGGUCAUGGAAGUAGAAGCAAACCAUAACUCACCGUCAUUUGUGAACCGUUUCAUUGAUGCAUUGUUUUACUAUAGUGCAUUUUUUGACUGCCUUGAAAAUUGUAUGAAACAUAACAAGUACAGGGUUUUCAUUGAAGACUUGUUACGCAAGGGAAUCCAGAACAUAGUGGCGGCAGAAGGGAGUGAAAGGGUUGCUCGAAGUGUGAAGAUGGAUGUGUGGAGAACUUUCUUUGCAAGGUUUAGAAUGGUAGAAAUGAGCUUUAGUAACUCAUCUUUGUAUCAAGCAAGUCUGGUGGCUAAGAAGUAUUGUUGCACAACACUUGAUAGGAAUGGAAAAUGUCUAACUGUUGGAUGGAAGGGAACCCCAAUUCAUUCGCUUUCAGCUUGGAAGUUCCGUUGAGAGACAUAUGGUCUUCAAAACAAAUGUAACACAGGCUUGUUCUAAAUUCUGAAAACAGAAAAGAUUUUCAUGCUUGUGAAAUGUAAAUGAUAAAUUUUCUACAUUAUUGUAGUAUGUAUACCCAAAACAAUCGUC